This 253-nucleotide ribosomal RNA is filed under the name uncultured bacterium. RNAcentral describes it as "partial 16S ribosomal RNA". It matches the Rfam family "Bacterial small subunit ribosomal RNA", at positions 524 to 776 of the family's 1533-position model. The record is from RNAcentral.
UACGUAGGGGGCAAGCGUUGUCCGGAUUUAUUGGGCGUAAAGGGCGCGUAGGCGGCGGGGUAAGUCUGGUGUGAAAUCUCGGAGCUCAACUCCGAAAUUGCACUGGAUACUGCUCUGCUAGAGGGCUGGAGAGGAGAUCGGAAUUCACGGUGUAGCAGUGAAAUGCGUAGAUAUCGUGAGGAAGACCAGUGGCGAAGGCGGAUCUCUGGACAGCUCCUGACGCUGAGGCGCGAAGGCUAGGGGAGCAAACGGG